RNAcentral lists this long non-coding RNA (213 nucleotides) under Panax ginseng (ginseng). RNAcentral's name for it is "long non-coding RNA (PGIN_LNC001984)". The record is from RNAcentral. Lineage: Eukaryota; Viridiplantae; Streptophyta; Magnoliopsida; Apiales; Araliaceae.
UUUCAUUUGAAGGUGUCAGUUUUUUUGGGAUUUUCUUAUUCUUAGGUAAUUCUUGGUUGCAAUUAGAAUUGCAAAAAGGAGAAAUUUAUGGGUAGUGGGUACCUUUGUUUGGUUGAAGUAUUUCUGGGUUUUUAUUUUUAGAGAGUUAUUUGAAGAUCAAGCUAUUGGGGGUUGCUGGAUUUUGAGACAAGGGAUAAGUAUCUUCUUUCUGAG